CCCUUAGAUGUCCUGGGCUGCACGCGCGCUACACUGAUGUGUCCAGUAAGCACCUAACCUCUUCCGAAAGGAACGGGUAACCUUUGCAAAGCACAUCGUGAUAGGGAUAGACUAUUGCAAUUAUUGGUCUUCAACGAGGAAUUCCUAGUAGACGUAGUUCAUCAGACUGCAUCGAUUACGUCCCUGCCCUUUGUACACACCGCCCGUCGCUCCUACCGAUUGAAUGCUCAGGUGAGCCAUUCGGACUUUCAUCAUGCUGGUUUCCAGUUUUGAUGAAGGAAAGUCUUGCGAACCUUAUCAUUUAGAGGAAGGAGAAGUCGUAACA
This 325-nucleotide ribosomal RNA is filed under the name uncultured eukaryote. RNAcentral describes it as "partial 18S ribosomal RNA". It matches the Rfam family "Eukaryotic small subunit ribosomal RNA", at positions 1470 to 1796 of the family's 1831-position model. The record is from RNAcentral.